Molecule: long non-coding RNA, 556 nt
Organism: Oncorhynchus tshawytscha (Chinook salmon)
Lineage: Eukaryota; Metazoa; Chordata; Actinopteri; Salmoniformes; Salmonidae
Source: Ensembl
UUAGGAGCAGAUUUCAGGAUCAGGACAAGACACCCUCUAUGUGACUGAUGACUGGGAUGAAUGUAGGAGCAGAUUUCAGGAGCAGGACAAGACACCCUCUAUGUGACUGAUGACUGGGAUGAAUGUAGGAGCAGAUUUCAGGAGCAGGACAAGACACCGUCUAUGUGACUGAUGACUGACAUAAGGACAUAAGGUGCUAGGCCUAUCUGGCUUAUAUGAUUAUGAUGGUCAUAAGGCUUCUUGGCAUAACAAAGCAAUUGUUCGGUGUUGAAAAUAGUUUUGCUGUGCUGACGUCAUAGGUACGAGACGGAGUCGCUGUUAGCAUGGCUGUGCUGACGUCAUAGGUACGAGACGGAGCCGCUGUUAGCAUGGCUGUGCUGAGGUCAUAGGUACGAGACGGAGCCGCUGUUAGCAUGGCUGUGCUGACGUCAUAGGUACGAGACGGAGCCGCUGUUAGCAUGGCUGUGCUGAGGUCAUAGGUACGAGACGGAGCCGCUGUUAGCAUGGCUGUGCUGAGGUCAUAGGUACGAGACGGAGCCGCUGUUAGCAUGGCUGU